RNAcentral lists this ribosomal RNA (468 nucleotides) under uncultured bacterium. RNAcentral's name for it is "bacterial SSU rRNA". It matches the Rfam family "Bacterial small subunit ribosomal RNA", at positions 61 to 524 of the family's 1533-position model. The record is from RNAcentral.
GUCGAGCGGGGGAGGUAGCUUGCUACUGGACCUAGCGGCGGACGGGUGAGUAAUGCUUAGGAAUCUGCCUAUUAGUGGGGGACAACAUCUCGAAAGGGAUGCUAAUACCGCAUACGUCCUACGGGAGAAAGCAGGGGAUCUUCGGACCUUGCGCUAAUAGAUGAGCCUAAGUCGGAUUAGCUAGUUGGUGGGGUAAAGGCCUACCAAGGCGACGAUCUGUAGCGGGUCUGAGAGGAUGAUCCGCCACACUGGGACUGAGACACGGCCCAGACUCCUACGGGAGGCAGCAGUGGGGAAUAUUGGACAAUGGGCGCAAGCCUGAUCCAGCCAUGCCGCGUGUGUGAAGAAGGCCUUAUGGUUGUAAAGCACUUUAAGCGAGGAGGAGGCUACUUUAGAUAAUACCUAGAGAUAGUGGACGUUACUCGCAGAAUAAGCACCGGCUAACUCUGUGCCAGCAGCCGCGGUAAU